RNAcentral lists this long non-coding RNA (2620 nucleotides) under Solanum lycopersicum (tomato). RNAcentral describes it as "partial TCONS_00067726". Lineage: Eukaryota; Viridiplantae; Streptophyta; Magnoliopsida; Solanales; Solanaceae. The record is from RNAcentral.
CCUGCAAUUUCAACCACUAUCAGACCAAGUCUUACUGAGUGCAGUAGAGACAGCUUAGAAUAGCAGGGAUGCAAAAGGAUGGCCACAGAAAUCUUAAUUUCCAAUUCAAUUAACAAAUGUGAAUCAAGAGAACAAAUGAAUAUCUAUACAGUUUCACAACAUCACCAUGCUAAACAGACUAGUUUGGAUCAAACAAACAUAGUGGCUCCGCUGCGCCAAAUGUCAAAGCCAAGCUGGACAGCUGUUAGAGGUAGGGAAAAUACGGGACGAAAUAAAUAAGGCAAGACUUUCAUGGACCAAAAAGUAAACAGAAGGAAAAAAAAAUAUGACGAGUCAGGAGAGGUAUGAUUAGAAAUGAAGAUAUUCCGGACAAGGUGGGAGCGUCCUUGGUGGAGGACAAGAUGCGGAAAGCGAGACUGAGAUGGUUUGGACAUGUGAAGAGGAGAUUCACAAAUGUGCCAAUGCGGAGGUGUGAGAAGUUGCUUAUGGAUGGUUUCAGAAAAGGUAGAGGCAGGCUGAAGAAAUAUUGAAAGAGGAUUAGACAAACAUGGCGCAACUCCAACUUACCAAAGAAAUGACCUUCGAUUGGAGGCUAUAGAGGACACGGAUAAAUUUUACAGGCUAAUAGGUACUUGAGAGUUGUCUCACCUAUUCUUUCAUACUAUCAGUGGUAGUAUUAUUCUUGUAGUUGCUUGUUCUAUCAUUACUGUUACUAUAUGUUGAGUUUUUUCUUGUAUAUCAAUUUUUGUUACUAUGUGUUGUUUCUAGUAGUAGUAUUCUGUUGUAGUUAUUGUGGAUUUUGCUUUCAUGUGCUGAAGGUGAGCUUUUGGGUUAAGAGUUUGAAGAUCAGUCUAGAAAUUAGGUUCAAGCUAGUUUACGGUUUGUAUGUUAGAUUUUUCUUCCACCAAAAAGAAUUGGUUGUCUUUCUGUUUGUACUAUAUAUAAAAGAGAGAGCCCUGAUACAUAUCUCUGCUCUGAGGCAAAAGGAACCCAUCCUUGUAAUUCGAAGAUUUCAUCGUUCAUUUGCUAAUUCGAUAUUGAAAAAAAUUGUUUGAUCAAUUGGUUUCAUUAUAAGAAAGUGCAUUGGAAUGCGGAUAUACUAAAUGAUAAAUAAAAUGUGAUAAAUUGCACCAACUUCUCCAUACAAGGGAAACUAUUAUUUUGACGAGAAUUCUUACUUUGGUUAUUCAUAUAUAAGCUAAGCAAUUAAUUUUUUAUGAUCACUAAAAGCUUUAUAUGAUGUCAAGCUCAUGAUAUCAGUGAAUGAAGCCUUCAGCACAAGGACAUGCUUCGGUGAUAUCUCUAAAAGUAGAUUUCACAUUGACUCUUCUUUGCUAUGCUGAAGUGUUUCAUGUAUAAAAUUUCUUUUAGUUUAUAUUUUCAUUUAGGAAUCUGAGAUUUUUGCUUAAGGUUUUAUAUCGGGGUUAAGACAUGGAGCAAACAAUCAAAAAGAUUCCAAAUGUAAAAUAGGAGUUUUUUAGAGUUCAAGUAGAAAAGAAUGGCAAGUAUGGAGAAGAAGCUGCUAUUGUGAUCUGCAAGAAGCUCACAUUAUCGGGAGAUCAGGAAUUAAAUUUCUCUCUAUUGUCUGCUUGCUUUCUAUAGCUUCUUGGUGUUGUUGGAUAUAUUGCGACACCUCGUGGUCUGCGCUGCCUCGACACUGUUUGGAUUAAUCAUCUCAGUGAACAGCUGAAUAGGUUCUAAAAGAACUGAUGCAAAUCCAAGAAGAAACAGAAGAAGUAUGUUGUAUCAUCCAUAUGUUGGCUCACACUCAGGUACUAAAUCUGAAUGUUAUCUCUAAGAGAUUGUUUAUGUUCGAGAUACUGGUAAUAAGAGGUGCUAUAAGAACUAGUACCUAAAUGGUAGUUGCACUUCGUAAAGUAAAAUAAGCUCACAUUAUACAUAGACUAUUGCUUAUUAUUAUCUGUUUAAUCUUCAGUAUGAAUUAAUAUUUGGGUUCAUCUAUAUUUAUGUAUCUUGAUCUAUGCAAGACUGGAACAACAGAAUCAAUAUUAAACAAAGGUAUAUAAGCUUAUCUCCUUCAGACUAGUAUAUAAAAAAAUGGCAUGUUCAUGUCAACAAAGAGACAUUUGGAUAUAUGUAGUUAAACUGUUUAAGUUGUAUUAUUAAACCAGGCAUGUUGGGUCCAUGCCCAGCGUCGGCUAUAGCCAAUCUAGUCUUAUAGUACGAGCAUAAUUAGUUUAAUGCAUUUACAACAAAUUGACAUGAUAUUUUUCUCAAUCCACACCCCUGAACAACUGAAUUCUCCAAGUGUCACAUUUGUACCUUUUUUCCUUUUUAUGUGGAUUGUCUGGCCCUUAGACGGGCGGGUGGGCCUACAUUCUGCUCUACUGUACAGGUAUCAUUUGUUAUUACAGUAUAGAUCUUACUUCAGUUUCAUCAUCAGUGAGACUGAAGCCAUCUUUCUAGAAAGUCUAAUAGCUUAUUGUAAUCCUCCUGCAACCCUUUCAAAUAAACCCUCUAGUAUUCAGUGUUAAUCAUCUUCCGGAAAAGAGUAGAAGAAUGGGACAUAUCAUUACGGUAUGUUCUUUCAAGGUAAACGGGACUUUUUUGCGAAAAAGCAAUAAACUAUGAUAGGUAGACAACAUUGUCAAAAUCUUAC